GAUCAGUACUGUUCUAUAUCUUUUGGAAACUACUGUAUGAGUACUGUUCAAAUUUUACAUUCAAUCUUGUCUCAAUUUGGGAAAUAAGCGUCUGUACUAAAGUAUCGGAAGAAGGAUCUCUUCUCAAUAUUCACCACAGCAGUUCAUUAACAAGUCUCCGAAGUUCUCUAUCUGAUUGAAAACCAGAACCGACUUGAAAAUGAAGCUGAUUCCAGUUAUUCCACUGUUCAUUUGCAUGGGUUUACUUUCGGUACAAGUGAGAGGUGAAGACGACGCACGAACAAAAGCUGCAAAACUUCUUUUCAAAAGCAUAACUGGAAACAGAGGAACAGUUGAUAUGUCUAAGCUUGCUGCAUAUCUAAGAAGAGGGAACAGAUUGGAUCAACAAUUUAAAAACGCAUUAGACCAAGCAAUUCUCAGAAGCGGAAGAGGAAACGUUGGCUUGAAUGAAUUUAUACAAAUAAGAUUGGCAAAUCCAAAUUAAUAAAUGAUGAAGUGGAACGCUAUUGUUUCAACGCUGCUCUCACAUAAAAAGGUAAACAAUCUGAGUCAAUUUCUAUGAAUUAUGGUACUUCACUUCUCUUCAAUCCAUAAUUACACGUUAUACAAUUUGUGACAUUUUAAAAUUAUUGACAUAAUGGAAUGAAAUAAAUCGAAGAAAUAGAAUAUAUUAUUAUUAUCAAAGGCUAGGAAGAGUAUCAAAAUGUAAUGUUACCUGAUGGCAAUGAAGAUUAUACUUAUCAACAGCUGAGACUGAGAUAAGAGCACCGUCCUAUACGGCAUAUUUUGAAAGAAUUAUUUAUUGCAAAUAAUUAAUUGUAAAUUGUUUAUAGUCAACCAUCAAAUUUAGAGAUUACAACUUUGUUUAUGUUAGUGAACAGCUGUUUUGAAUGCAGUCAAGAAAUUAGUCAAAAUGAAUUAUUUGUACUACUGAACUUUUGUUUCAAAACAAUGAUAUAACUACUUCUAAAAACCAAUAAUUAUUGUAAUAAGGAUGAGAGUUUCAAAAUAAAGAUAUAUUUAUUAUUGUUAAAAUAAUUCAUUAAUGGGAAUGUACAACAUGUUAAAUAUUAUAAAAGCGAGCAUGGUCAUGGUACAAGUUUUAUCACUGAUAAGAAUUGUAAUAUGCAUUUUUUGUUAUUUAUUAUUGUUAUAAGAAUCUCUUGUAUGAAAUAUAGAUACUACAUAAUAAUUAUUAUAGAAUCAACCGCAUGGACUGAUGUAAAAAUCUCUGUAACCCUUUCAGGCCAAUUGUAGGUCAGAAAAAUGACACCAAAAAGGGAUGAUAUUCAAACAUGAUAUUCUAUUUCUGUGAUCAGCGACUAGAAAAGGUCUUAUCAUAUGUGGUAAAACAUUGUUCGUUGAAUAAGGAGAAAUAUGAAGAAAAUUUAUUUACUGAUAAAAGGCAGAUAAUUUAAGUUUAUUUAUUGUAAAGCAAGGAAUAUUCUCUUUCUCAUCUCUGACGUGAUGUAGACGUCAUACUAGUUCCACCAAUAGCAAAAUUUUUAUGCAAAUUAAGUAAGACGGAACUGCUCAGCCAAAAGUUUUGAGAAAAGAGACAGUUACAUCCCUUUUAAUGACUUCACCGUAAAUACCUUGCUCUAGAAGGUUACCAUUUUCUAGUGAGAUUCUUAUUUGUUAAAUUUAUGUACUUUAAUUGUUAGCCUAUACCUGAGGCAAUACUAUUUGUUACAUUUGUGAAUUAUUCUAUCAAUUGAUUGCUUCCAUGAAUCUGAAUUUUAUUAUUCAUUUUUGAUUGGUAAAGGAUAUAAUUAAUUUCUAAAAAUCUCCCAUGUGCUGAAGACUGAAGUUUGGACAAGCCAUUGAAUCUGAAUUAAUUCAAAGAAACUAUUAUGCCAAGAAGGAUCACGUGAGUUAUCCUUUAUUUUAUGGGGCCCCACCCUUCGCUUCAAAAAAGUACAAAAAUUAUUUCAAUUUUACUUCAAUAAAUAAAUUGGCCAUGUCAAAAGCGCUAAUAAAAUAAAUGUACUGAAUAAUAAUUGUGAGUUUUUGUGGUUGUUUAACUGUCCUUAUCUGCCUGAAUCACGACCCUGAUUGAAUUUCAAAUAUUGUAAUAUUCUUGGUUAAAUCAUUUAGAAUUCCAAUUUACCUAUAAGAGUUUUUGAACUUUGUAAAAGGAAUGUGGAUGAUAGCCCAGCAUCAUAGCACAAAUCAAAUAAGCCUGUAAACAGAAAAUUAUUCAAAACUUGUCUAUCAAAUCUUGAAACUGUACUGUUUAUCAACUAUUAUUACUGCUCAUUAUAUUUCAAAUUGAAUACUUUAUU
RNAcentral lists this unclassified non-coding RNA (2285 nucleotides) under Nilaparvata lugens (brown planthopper). Its description in RNAcentral is "uncharacterized LOC111059350, transcript variant X4". Lineage: Eukaryota; Metazoa; Arthropoda; Insecta; Hemiptera; Delphacidae. The record is from RNAcentral.